This 96-nucleotide ribosomal RNA is filed under the name Sapajus apella (tufted capuchin). RNAcentral also lists the same sequence under 1 other name. Lineage: Eukaryota; Metazoa; Chordata; Mammalia; Primates; Cebidae. The record is from RNAcentral.
CUACCCUGAACGCGCCCGAUCUCGUCUGAUCUCGGAAGCAAAGCAGGGUCGGGCCUGGUUGGUACUUGCAUGGGAGACCGCCUGGGAAUACCAGGU